CCUACGGGCGGCAGCAGUGGGGAAUAUUGGACAAUGGGCGAAAGCCUGAUCCAGCCAUGCCGCGUGUGUGAAGAAGGCCUUCGGGUUGUAAAGCACUUUCAGUGGGGAAGAAAGCCUUGGGGCUAAUACCCUCGAGGAAGGACAUCACCCACAGAAGAAGCACCGGCUAACUCCGUGCCAGCAGCCGCGGUAAUACGGAGGGUGCGAGCGUUAAUCGGAAUUACUGGGCGUAAAGCGCGCGUAGGCGGUCUGAUAAGCCGGUUGUGAAAGCCCCGGGCUCAACCUGGGAACGGCAUCCGGAACUGUCAGGCUAGAGUGCAGGAGAGGAAGGUAGAAUUCCCGGUGUAGCGGUGAAAUGCGUAGAGAUCGGGAGGAAUACCAGUGGCGAAGGCGGCCUUCUGGACUGACACUGACGCUGAGGUGCGAAAGCGUGGGUAGCAAACAGGAUUAGAUACCCGGUGUC
This 463-nucleotide ribosomal RNA is filed under the name Vreelandella stevensii. RNAcentral's name for it is "partial 16S ribosomal RNA". It matches the Rfam family "Bacterial small subunit ribosomal RNA", at positions 338 to 795 of the family's 1533-position model. The record is from RNAcentral. Lineage: Bacteria; Pseudomonadati; Pseudomonadota; Gammaproteobacteria; Oceanospirillales; Halomonadaceae.